UACGAGGGGGGCGAGCGUUGUUCGGAAUUAUUGGGCGUAAAGGGUGCGUAGGCGGUUUGGUAAGUCUUGUGUGAAAUCUCCAGGCUCAACUUGGAGUCUGCACGAGAAACUGCCGGGCUUGAGUGUGGGAGAGGUGAGUGGAAUUCCUGGUGUAGCGGUGAAAUGCGCAGAUAUCAGAAGGAACACCGGUGGCGAAGGCGGGUCUCUGGGCCGAUACUGACGCUGAGGAGCGAAAGCGUGGGGAGCGAACAGG
Molecule: ribosomal RNA, 253 nt
Filed under: uncultured bacterium
Lineage: Bacteria
Description: partial 16S ribosomal RNA
Rfam family: Bacterial small subunit ribosomal RNA
Source: RNAcentral